UGAACUUGGCUAGAGCAGAAGAUAGACACAUUCCUGGGAUAAGGCAAACUAAUCAGGGCCUAGGUAUUUCGAAAUCGUUCCUCAAAGCCCAGGACUUAGUAGGUGAAUAUUCCCUGGUUUUGAACAAGGUAGGUAGCUGUUGUAUUUCAGAUUGAGAGAGCAGAUGAGCCUUGUUAGUUGACUCUGGGCCACUUUAAAUGGAAGGUGUUCUUUCCUUCCUCUUUGCUGCCAAAGCAAUUCUUUCUGUCCUGUCUUAGGACCUUAGUUUGAAACCUACAAGGCAUGGUCCCCCUGGUGCUUUUUGGAGAAAUGUCUUCUAUUUUGUCAGUGCAGUUUACACACCCCAGUGACAGGAAGUAAGUUUGCCUUCAUACCAGUAAAAUCCACAUGUAAAGGAUGAUGAGUUCUCCGUGAGAGUAAACCUAUGAAGUGUCUGUAAAUUUGUUGCCCAAAUGGUUGAAGACACUCCAAGCACUAAUCAGAUGUCUGGGAGCAGUCUCAAGAAGAAAAGGCUGGAACGUGGUUGUAAUUUAGGUUAAGUGAUAAAGCAGUUUAGAGUCUAAACUGAGAGAAGGGGUUUGGCCAUCCUUGGAAGUAGAGCACUGGCCCUGGUACUACCUAAGGAAGGGCAGGCCUUAUCUGAGGGAACUUGAGCCCUGUGAUGGCCUUGAUCAAACUGCUCUUAUAGCAGGGAAGGGGGCCCUGCCAUAAAGAGAGAUGUGACUUUAGGUUGAUUACUUUUGUUCUCAGUUUCUGUUAACCAAGCACUCUUUAGCCCUUGAGGAAAAGAUCAGCCAGUCAGGCCAAUUCAAGCAUUCUAGUCCAUUAGAAUGUCCACAGUUCCUUGGUAUGAAUCAUUACAUUGGCAUUUGGUUUGUAUGCCCUGCAACCUCUGUGUGAACUUGGUUAAUAGGUGUUUCAGAGAUGGAUCCCUUUACAUGGGAUGGCUUAAAAGUGUAAGGCCCAGGUCUGGGUCUUGUUAAAUCAGCAAGAAAUUAAGUUGGGGAGGAGGGGCAGGAAGCUAGCUUUGCCAAGGAAAUACUACCCUUGUCUUAUUGUUGACCUUCCUUUUGCAAUCACGUUCAGGAAAAUUAUCAGCACAAGGCAGAAAGUGUUAAAUUCUAGAUGAGAGAUACAGGCAUCAAGUGCUAUGGAUUCCAAGGUGGGGGGAGAUUGCUGUGAGAGGUUAAAGAAAAGAUGGUGUCACAGAAGAGGUGGGUAGGAUUUGCCAAAUGGAUAGGAUUUCAGUAGAUGGAGAUGUUGGAGAUGGAGAAGAAAUAGCCUCUGCCAUUUCAGUGAAGUCCCUCUAGAGCUGAUGUAAAAUGUAUGGUCAUCUGAUUUCUGAGCUGUUAAGCCAAAGAAAAAACACUGUUGUGGCAGGAGAGGGAGUGGUAGGCCCCAGAGAAAAGGAAAGAAAAUGAACUGUUUAGUCAGCAGCUUGUUUAUUUAACAUGUCUUGAGUUUUUAGUAUGUGCCAGGCGCUGAGCUGUGUCCGGGGGAUAUAGAAAUGAACAAAACAAACAAAAGCCCUACCUUUCUCUCUAGUGAGGAGAAAGACUAUGGAAGGAAGGUGGGAAAGAAGAAGAGUUGGAUGAAGGGCUAUAUAGUAUGUCAGAUGUGCUGUGGAGAAAAUUAAAACAAGGGUUGGGGAAGUUGGAGGAUGUACUGAGGAUUUUUUUUCUUAAAAAGUUUUUUUUUCAUUUUCUUCUUUUAAAUGUUUAAUGAAUUAUGUACAAGCUAAUAUAAAGGUAAAAUAUAUGUGCAAGCUAAAGACUCGGAUCUGGGCCUUUGAUCAUUUUCUGUGAGAAGGGGGAGCUGACCAGGUUGUGACCCAGAAGAUAAAAUUUGUCUGUGAAUAUGACUCACUGCCUGGGGAACAGUAAGCCAUGAUGUAUGAAUGGAGCUCUUCUGAAAGCAAGAAAAACCAGGUGCAAUGAUAGAGGACAGAAUUGUACCCUAAACCUCUAAAUAUGAAUAUUAUGGUUCUAAGAAAAUAGGUGUUGACCUUGUGAGAUGUGA
Bos taurus (domestic cattle) is the source of this 2019-nucleotide long non-coding RNA. The record is from Ensembl. Lineage: Eukaryota; Metazoa; Chordata; Mammalia; Artiodactyla; Bovidae.